AAAUUCCAACCCCGGAAAGGCCCAGCCAGCCACCGGGAAUCGAGUCUUGAGUUGUGGAAAGCAAUGACCAUAACUAAGCGUAGACAGAGCGAACGACAGACCGUAACGAAAGUGAAGCCAUCGAGCCCCGUUAAACCCGUAAAGUGGAUGCCGACCGGCUCUUUGGACUGGGAAGGCAACAGUAGAUGCGGGACAAAGGCGACUGCAUCGGAGAAUCCAUCGGGGUCCAAGAGCA
This 235-nucleotide non-coding RNA is filed under the name Hydrogenispora ethanolica. Lineage: Bacteria; Bacillati; Bacillota. The record is from RNAcentral.